This 677-nucleotide unclassified non-coding RNA is filed under the name Hevea brasiliensis (rubber tree). The record is from RNAcentral. Lineage: Eukaryota; Viridiplantae; Streptophyta; Magnoliopsida; Malpighiales; Euphorbiaceae.
CUUGAUUUCAAACGCAAGAAUAAGGUGUAUAGUCCAAUAAUAUAGCAUUAACAUGAUGUUUAUUUUCGUAAUUUAGUUGGACAUUCUCAUUAGAUCGAUUUAUUGCUCUAGAAAUAUUUCUCUUUCCCAGUUUUUUGCUUAGACUGGCUUGUUCCAUUUUCACAGUAAUAGAAAAAUUCCUUUAUCAUUUUGUAUGAGUUAUAUACUGAACUUAUUUUCUUGACUAUUUGGAUCAGUUAAAACAUUUUAGUUUUCAUUAUUAGCAUAAAGCACUUUUCCCCCUAAUCAAAUUCUUGGAUGUUGUAAAUGUGCAGAUUCGUGCCUUCGUGGAUAAAUUGAUUGAGAGGCAUAUGGCAAUGAAGCCAGCUUUGAAAACUUGAUGGUCCUCGAGAUUGACUAGCUUGUGUUUUUGGGUGCACCUCUGCAGCAAUUACAGAAGUGUUACUUUUUAUUCACGCAUAAAUCCACAGUAUAAGAUGGUGGUGGCGGUGUUCUUGGAAUGGCUUCCCCAUGUAAAUACUUAAUUCAAAAUGCCAGUAUGCUGUAAAUGAUCCAGAAUGUGCCAAGGAAGGAAGGAGAUGAUUCUUAUAGCUUGUUGGAUUGUUGCGGGGCUUCUAGUGAAGAUCACUUGUCGUUUGGCCUACUGAAACAAUUAUUUGGCAUCCUUGAAAAUAUGA